CCCUUAGAUGUCCUGGGCCGCACGCGCGCUACACUGAGUGUCUGAGAUACGAGUCUGCCUGGUCCGGCAAGGUCUAGGUAAUCGCUAAAAGACACAUCAUGCUUGGGAUAGAUUAUUGCAAAUAUUAAUCUUGAACGAGGAAUUCCUAGUAAGCGCAAGUCAACAGCUUGCGUUGAUUACGUCCCUGCCCUUUGUACACACCGCCCGUCGCUACUACUGAUUGGAUGUUUAAGCGAGGUUCUCGAACUGCUAGCGACUUAGCUUCGGUGAGGUCGCAGUGUUGGAAGUGAACCUAGCUUUGGUGUCUAGAGGAAGUAAAAGUCGUAACA
RNAcentral lists this ribosomal RNA (329 nucleotides) under uncultured eukaryote. Its description in RNAcentral is "partial 18S ribosomal RNA". It matches the Rfam family "Eukaryotic small subunit ribosomal RNA", at positions 1470 to 1796 of the family's 1831-position model. The record is from RNAcentral.